RNAcentral lists this unclassified non-coding RNA (230 nucleotides) under Hevea brasiliensis (rubber tree). The record is from RNAcentral. Lineage: Eukaryota; Viridiplantae; Streptophyta; Magnoliopsida; Malpighiales; Euphorbiaceae.
AGCGCUGAUGGAGCCUUCUCGAUUCCUUCGACAGUGUCUUCGACAUAGACCACUUUCCCUUCCCUUAUGUACUGGAUGACCAACUCUAAAAAUUCAGGGUAUAGGUGUUUGUGAUCUGGCUCGAGGAAUCCUUGCAUCUUGAUACGCUUUGAUAUGAGGCAAAACAAGUUGUGGACACCCUCUUGUUGGGUCAGAUUGUACUGUGAUAUUAACCCGCAGACAGCAAUUCG